GAUGAAGAACGUAGCGAAAUGCGAUAAGUAAUGUGAAUUGCAGAAUUCAGUGAAUCAUCGAAUCUUUGAACGCACAUUGCGCCCAUUAGUAUUCUAGUGGGCAUGCCUGUUCGAGCGUCAUUAAGUCCACUUAAGCCCUGCUUAGUGUUGGGAGACUGCUCCAGCGGUGCUACCCUGUAGCUACCCUGCAGCUCCUCAAAGACAGCGGCGGAGUUGUGGUAUCCUCUGAGCUUAGUAAUUUUUUCUAGCUUUCGAGAUGCUACUGCUUCUGCCGUUAAACACCCUUCUUCUGAAUGGUUGACCUCGGAUCAGGUAGGAAUACCCGCUGAACUUAAGCAUAUCAAUAAGCGGAGGA
Molecule: unclassified non-coding RNA, 355 nt
Filed under: soil metagenome
Description: partial contains 5.8S ribosomal RNA, internal transcribed spacer 2, and large subunit ribosomal RNA
Rfam family: 5.8S ribosomal RNA (bases 1-120)
Source: RNAcentral